This 390-nucleotide ribosomal RNA is filed under the name uncultured bacterium. RNAcentral describes it as "partial 16S ribosomal RNA". It matches the Rfam family "Bacterial small subunit ribosomal RNA", at positions 28 to 417 of the family's 1533-position model. The record is from RNAcentral.
GACGAACGCUGGCGGCGUGCUUAACACAUGCAAGUCGAGCGACUGCAUUCUUUUCGGAGGGUGUAUGGAGCGGCGAACGGGUGAGUAACACGUGAGUAAUCUGCCUUUGGCUUGGGAAUAACUUCGGGAAAUCGGGGCUAAUGCCUGAUGUUUACUGUCUGCUGCAUGGUGGGUGGUGGAAAGAUUUUUUGGCCAGGGAUGAGCUCGCGGUCUAUCAGCUGUUGGUGGGGUGAUGGCCUACCAAGGCGACGACGGGUAGCCGGCCUGAGAGGGCGACCGGCCACACUGGGACUGAGACACGGCCCAGACUCCUACGGGAGGCAGCAGUGGGGAAUCUUGCGCAAUGGGCGAAAGCCUGACGCAGCGACGCCGCGUGAGGGAUGACGGCCU